Long non-coding RNA from Aethalodelphis obliquidens (Pacific white-sided dolphin), 1697 nucleotides. RefSeq lists it as uncharacterized. Lineage: Eukaryota; Metazoa; Chordata; Mammalia; Artiodactyla; Delphinidae. The record is from RefSeq and is a predicted model, not a curated record. The transcript has 2 exons.
CUCUCCCUCUCUCUCCCUCUCUCCCUCUCUCCGUCUCUCUCUCUCCCUCACGUAGUGGGGGCAGGUGUCUCUGAAUCGCCCAUGUGCCUAGACAUAAAGUGAAGCUUCCCUCUGAGCAUUGGGUUCUGUACCCUCCCUGCUCUGCGGCUGCUGGAAGGUGUACCUGGGGGCAAAGGUGGUUAUUGGAGCUGAAAUCUGAUCCUGGUUUUGUGUAUUUUGUUAAGAGCCUAGAGUCACAGCCUAUCCUAGUUCGAGCAAGUUCUCAGCAGGGCCUCUUCUCCUGCGUGUACCCUCAGCCUCUGCUAGGACCGGGCCUCCCUUCCGGGGGUUUGCAUGUGUGCCGGCCUCCCCUGCUGGGCCCGCUGCCCCUGCCCACCUUCCUGCUGCGAUUCCCGCCCGAGACGAGUGGGGCAGUCGCCCUGGACAGCCGCCUCUCUCUGCCCUUCCCCGGGCUCCUCGGCUCAGGGCCCGGGGACGGGCAGAACUUUGACCCCAGAGGCCCUUCCUAUAUAUUUUCCCUAAAUUGCCCAUUGGUUGUUUCUUUUCAAAUGUAGGUUUGUUGGUGGAAAGUCUCAGAAUCUUGUCCGCUCACCUUCUUCCCUAAGACUUUGUUUCGAAGGCAUAGGAGGAGCGUUGCUGGUUACUGUACUUCUCUGGCCGGACGUCACUUUUAAGAAGAUCAUGGAGUGAAAGUACUGUCUUUCCCUCUUUGGAUGUUGUUACUGGGCCUUUGAACUGGUUUCUACACGUGGACUACUGGUUAGGUUUUGCAGGCGGAUGGUUCUGGGGUCUGGCUGUGUUUGGAGGAGGCCCCUUUAUGUAUGUUAAAUAAUUUAAAAUUUAAAAGCAAUUUCUGUGACUAUCCGUUCCUAGGCUUCCUCUUAGGGAAGGUCCCGACAGCAUUCAGUGCGCUCGACCACUGCCUUCCCCAGACCCUCCCCCGUGGCGUCCGCCCCCCUGGACACUCAGUCGCCUUGGCUGUCCCCUCUCGGCCCCUGACCUCAGCCCUUCUUUCCUCUCCUCCCCUCUAGAUGCUGAUGGACGCCCUGCAGGACGGCUCAUGGCGUUUCUAGGGGAUUCCUGGUCCACCCACAGCCAGGCCCCAGCACUCCUUCCAGCUGCCCAGCUUUUCCUUGAAAUGCAGAGAAAGAGGCUCUUACGUCUUCCUCCGGUGUCGCUGAAUCCCAGCUGGCGGGUGCCUGAUAUGUGAUGCUGAACGGUGACAGUGACCUUGGCCCGCGGGGAAAGCCCGAGCUUGAGAGGCACUUAGGCGCAAGGGACCCAGGGUGAUUGUGUCCCCCAGGUAAGGAAGCAGACGAAUGUGUCCUGUGUGUCAUGUAUGAGCACAGAUCCCAUACUCCCCGCAAAGCUAAAUCAUUAUUCGUGAAGCGCUUGCAUCGGGAAGACGCUCAGGGCACAUGUGUAUUAUUCCAGCUGGACGGAACGCACAGAGACAGGACUGAAACUGGAGGGAGAUAGUUGCGUGCUGUCUUUCUCUGAUGAGCUUUCAUGAGUAGACAGGCGAGGACGAUACAAAGCCCUGAAUCAUCGCAUGACGACACCGGGCCGACAGGCAGAGCUGGUUUGCUGCAGGCCCGGAGAGUCCUCUGGGCUGAGAUGUAGUCCUCAGUGUUUCUGGUUGUCAUCUUCCUUGUCUUUUUUUUUCUUUUAAAUUAAUUAUUUGUUUAUUUAACCUC